UACGUAGGGUGCAAGCGUUAAUCGGAAUUACUGGGCGUAAAGCGUGCGCAGGCGGUUGUGCAAGACAGAUGUGAAAUCCCCGGGCUCAACCUGGGAAUUGCAUUUGUGACUGCACGGCUAGAGUGUGUCAGAGGGGGGUAGAAUUCCACGCGUAGCAGUGAAAUGCGUAGAGAUGUGGAGGAAUACCGAUGGCGAAGGCAGCCCCCUGGGAUAACACUGACGCUCAUGCACGAAAGCGUGGGGAGCAAACAGG
Molecule: ribosomal RNA, 253 nt
Filed under: uncultured bacterium
Lineage: Bacteria
Description: partial 16S ribosomal RNA
Rfam family: Bacterial small subunit ribosomal RNA
Source: RNAcentral